CGCGUAGGCGGCUGUGAUAGUCAGGUGUGAAAUCCUUCGGCUUAACCGGAGAACUGCAUCUGAAACUUCAUAGCUAGAGUACAGGAGAGGGAAACGGAAUUCCCGGUGUAGAGGUGAAAUUCGUAGAUAUCGGGAGGAACACCAGUGGCGAAGGCGGUUUCCUGGCCUGAUACUGACGCUGAGGCGCGAAAGCGUGGGGAGCAAACAGGAUUAGAUACCCUGGUAGUCCACGCGGUAAACGGUGAACACUAGGUGUGGGAGGUGUAAUACCUUCUGUGCCGAAGCUAACGCGUUAAGUGUUCCGCCUGGGAAGUACGGCCGCAAGGUUGAA
Molecule: ribosomal RNA, 331 nt
Filed under: uncultured bacterium
Lineage: Bacteria
Description: bacterial SSU rRNA
Rfam family: Bacterial small subunit ribosomal RNA
Source: RNAcentral